CUUCCUCUUCCUGGCAGGGGCCGGGCGUGCGGUCCCGGUCCCCAUAGUGUAUGGGGGCCGAGGCAAAGGGCUCUGGCCCCUCAGCAUCACGUCUUCGGUGCCGACGGUUUCGUCUGCAGGUUUUCUCCUCAAGCUCCGGGACAUGG
Molecule: small nucleolar RNA, 146 nt
Organism: Phyllostomus hastatus (greater spear-nosed bat)
Lineage: Eukaryota; Metazoa; Chordata; Mammalia; Chiroptera; Phyllostomidae
Product: small nucleolar RNA SNORA57
Exons: 1
Source: RefSeq, a predicted model, not a curated record